This is a non-coding RNA of Melanogaster broomeanus, 98 nucleotides long. The record is from the annotation of a GenBank genome assembly. NCBI's taxonomy places the organism in Eukaryota, Fungi, Basidiomycota, Agaricomycetes, Boletales, Melanogastraceae.
GGCUUUGUAGUGUAGUGGUUAUCACUUGAGAUUUUGACGGUUCACCGUCACAUGAUUCCCAUCUUCUCAAAACCCAGGUUCGAACCCUGGCAAGGCCU